This 327-nucleotide unclassified non-coding RNA is filed under the name Hevea brasiliensis (rubber tree). Lineage: Eukaryota; Viridiplantae; Streptophyta; Magnoliopsida; Malpighiales; Euphorbiaceae. The record is from RNAcentral.
AUCACCACUUACCAGUUCUUUUAGUAUCAUCUUCCAUAUGCCUCUAUCAUAAGUUAAUUCUGCAUUUUGUGUGAAGCAUAUAUAUACAUUUGCAGUAAGUUGUUUACGUUACUGUUUUCAAAAAGCCAUGAUAGGUUUUAUGUUUAAUCUAGUGAGAGUAGAUAAUAUCUGGAUUUGCCUUGCUUCACUUGACUUUCACAACUCUUGGAAAGUGCAUGUGUGCAUGUACACUUCUCUCUUUCUCUGUACAAGAAGUUUGAAUUGGUCAUGAGGUAGAUUGCUGAGGAGCAAUGCAACUUUAAUGCAGGUUGGAUGAUGCUAUUGAGA